Corchorus capsularis is the source of this 146-nucleotide small nucleolar RNA. It matches the Rfam family "small nucleolar RNA snoR135". The record is from Rfam. Lineage: Eukaryota; Viridiplantae; Streptophyta; Magnoliopsida; Malvales; Malvaceae.
UGAGCAGGGAUAGUGUGUAUCGACGUAGUGCAAAAUAAAAAUGCACUCUGAUCGAAAGAGUUCCCUGCAAAAUCCAUCUUAGGGGAAGGUGGGCAGUUGUGCUUCAUUCCACCAUUGAUUUGUCAACAAUCAUCUUCCCCACAUUC